This is a long non-coding RNA of Astyanax mexicanus (Mexican tetra), 2221 nucleotides long. RefSeq lists it as uncharacterized. The record is from RefSeq and is a predicted model, not a curated record. The transcript has 3 exons. Lineage: Eukaryota; Metazoa; Chordata; Actinopteri; Characiformes; Acestrorhamphidae.
CAGCAGUUUAGCUCAAAUAAAUGGCUUAUAUUUAAUAGGUGGAUCCGAUCGAGACCGGAUCACGUUCUCACCACAAGCGAACCGCUCCAGAGUUCGUUUGGUACCUAGAGGAGGUGGUCUCGGUCCGGUUCUUUUGAUCCGCACCCGAGUGCGAUUACUGUUUUUACACCUGCUCAAUCGAACCGCACUGCUCAGGUAUGCUCCGCUCGUCCUCGGCUUUGCUCGCUCCCAAGUCACGUGACCAGUCAAAUCGCAGCCAGUGCGGUUAGAGAAUCGCGUUUUAAAAUAUCGCGAGAUUAUCGCAAAUGCAAUUAAUUGUUCAGCCCUACUUACCAUAUAAAUAAAAUGACAAGAGCAAGGACCAACCCUACACACCCAAUCACAACUCCAACAAUCACGUAAAGAGUGAAACUUGGAUUCCCUGUGAAAAAAAAAACAAAUAUAUCUGUAAUACAUUUGCUACCGAUGAUCAUGAAAUUGUAUGUUAUAGUAGUUUUCUGUCAAUCAUACCUUUGAAACUAAGCAGCACUGCUUCUGAUAUUUUAGAUCCGUGUUCAUCCUGAACCUCACAGUAGUACUGACCACUGCUUUCAGAGUCCAAGGUAAAGCUGUAACUGUGUCCAGAUCCUAUAGGUGAGCUUCCACCAUCUUUAAACCAGGUGUAUUUCUGUACAGGUGGGUUUCCAUCACUGCUGCAGGUCAGAGUCACUGAACUGCCCUCCACUAUUUCACCAGAGGGACUGAUGGACACUGAGACGCUCUUUGGAGGAUCUAGAAACCAGAGAACAACACCAGUGAGAGUAUAAUCACUGACUGUUAGACACUUGAAGUAAAGUUGGUAUAGAAAACAGAAUCAAUAACUGAAACAAGUAAAGAAGCACUCACACAGAACAUUCAGAGUUACAGUAUCAGAGUAUUUCUCUCCAUGUUUAUUACUGGAUCUACACUUGUAUUCUCCACUGUUCACAGAGCUGAUCUUGUUCAGUUUGAAGGUCUUUCCUGUUGCUACUGAUGAUGAUCCUUUAUACCAGGUAUAUUCCACAGGUGGGUUUCCAUCACUGCUGCAGGUCAGAGUCACUGAACUGCCCUCCACUAUUUCACCAGAGGGACUGAUGGACACUGAGACGCUCUUUGGAGGAUCUACAGGCAGAUUGACACAUUACAAUAAAUCUGAUGUUUGUGAUGCUGUAGAUCUGACCGGUCCAUUUCUGCUGAACGUCUUUAUUCACCUUCUUAAACCAGGUGUAUUUCUGUACAGGUGGGUUUCCAUCACUGCUGCAGGUCAGAGUCACUGAACUGCCCUCCACUAUUUCACCAGAGGGACUGAUGGACACUGAGACGAUCUUUGGAGGAUCUAGAAAAAUGUCAUUAAUAUGGAACAUCUUAAAAGUUUUGCCAUCACUGAUUUAAAUGGUAUAAUUUACACAUUAGAAUCAAAGAAAAAUAACUUACAUAUAACAGUUAAUGACUUGUACUCUGAGUACUGAGACCCUUGUGUGUUGGUUGCCAUGCACUGAUAUUCUCCACUGUCUGCAGAUCUGAUGUUUGUGAUGCUGUAGAUCUGACCGGUCCAUUUCUGCUGAACGUCUUUAUCUACCUUCUUAAACCAGGUGUAUUUCUGUACAGGUGGGUUUCCAUCACUGCUGCAGGUCAGAGUCACUGAACUGCCCUCCACUAUUUCACCAGAGGGACUGAUGGACACUGAGACGCUCUUUGGAGGAUCUUAAGGAACCUCCACCUGGAGACCUGCCAACAAGAGAUAACACACUUCUACUGUAUCAUCCUCACAUUAGCUGAAUAAAGUGAAUUUAUAGAAGGGGAUCUUUGGGUAGAGUCAGAAUCAUGUUUGUAAAAGAUGUAAAAGCGUUAAAAACUUUUAAAUUGGUUUAAAAACAAAAUGGUAAAAUAAGAAAAUGGAUUUUGAUUUAGGGGUAUCAAACACAAUCUAUUGUAUCAUACACAAUAAUAAUAAUAUUAUUAUUCCAGUCAUUUGCCAGAACACAUCACUUCAUUGAUGAAUGUAAAGAACAGUGAUUAUCUGACUCGCUCUAGUAAUUGGAUCAGCUGCCAGGUUCCAAAUGUUUUUAGUGAACUGGGAAAAUCAGCUUUUAGCUACAGAGCACCAGUGAGCUGGAAUUCACUACAGGAAACUCUAAAACUCACUAAAGCUCACUGGUGUCACUAAAUCAUUUAAACUUUUAAUAUCUAACCACCUUCAGAC